RNAcentral lists this ribosomal RNA (119 nucleotides) under Pteropus alecto (black flying fox). Lineage: Eukaryota; Metazoa; Chordata; Mammalia; Chiroptera; Pteropodidae. The record is from RNAcentral.
UAAAAAGGCCAUGCCACCCUAAACACGCCCAAUCUCGUCUGAUCUUGGAAGCUAAGCAGGGUCAGAUCUGGUUAGUAUUUGGAUGGGAGACCUCCUAGGAAUACUGGGUGCUAUAGGCC